GUGCUCGCUUCGGCAGCACAUAUGCUAAAAUUGGAACGAUACAGGAAGAUAGCAGGCCCCUGCGCAAGGAUGACAUGCAAAUUCAUGGAACAUUCCAUAUUUUU
Small nuclear RNA from Theropithecus gelada (gelada), 104 nucleotides. The record is from Ensembl. Lineage: Eukaryota; Metazoa; Chordata; Mammalia; Primates; Cercopithecidae.